Molecule: ribosomal RNA, 484 nt
Filed under: uncultured bacterium
Lineage: Bacteria
Description: partial 16S ribosomal RNA
Rfam family: Bacterial small subunit ribosomal RNA
Source: RNAcentral
AUUGAACGCUGGCGGCAGGCCUAACACAUGCAAGUCGAGCGGAUGAAGGGAGCUUGCUCCUGGAUUCAGCGGCGGACGGGUGAGUAAUGCCUAGGAAUCUGCCUGGUAGUGGGGGAUAACGUCCGGAAACGGGCGCUAAUACCGCAUACGUCCUGAGGGAGAAAGUGGGGGAUCUUCGGACCUCACGCUAUCAGAUGAGCCUAGGUCGGAUUAGCUAGUUGGUGGGGUAAAGGCCUACCAAGGCGACGAUCCGUAACUGGUCUGAGAGGAUGAUCAGUCACACUGGAACUGAGACACGGUCCAGACUCCUACGGGAGGCAGCAGUGGGGAAUAUUCGACAAUGGGCGAAAGCCUGAUCCAGCCAUGCCGCGUGUGUGAAGAAGGUCUUCGGAUUGUAAAGCACUUUAAGUUGGGAGGAAGGGAAGUAAGUUAAUACCUUCCUGUUUUGACGUUACCAACAGAAAAAGCACCGGCUAACUUCGUG